GUACACUGGAAGCUGAUGCUCACGAACAUUCACAGUUCCAGCAGACGAAGUGUAAAUCAGUUUCUUGACUGUCUUUGCUUUAGCACAGGCCUUAAUGAUGUCGAGGACUCCCUGUACGGUAGGCUUGAUAACUUCGUUCUGUAAUGUAAAACUUAGAAGCCAGUGUUAUUAUGUGUUUACAUGUUAGUGAGUCUGAUAUAUAGGCAGAAGAAUGCGAACUUGCCUCGGGGUCCUGGGACUCGAUGUCCAUGGGGGUGGCCAUAUGAAACACUGCAUGGCAGCCUUUUACGGCUUCAUCAAAGCUUCCUUCUUCAUUCAGAUCUGCCC
This 327-nucleotide long non-coding RNA is filed under the name Daucus carota (carrot). Its description in RNAcentral is "long non-coding RNA (DCAR_LNC004381)". The record is from RNAcentral. Lineage: Eukaryota; Viridiplantae; Streptophyta; Magnoliopsida; Apiales; Apiaceae.